GGGAGUGUGGCCGAGUGGUUAUGGCGCGUGACUCAAGUAUGAUCUUUGUAUCAACUUACAGAAGGCUUUAAAAUCUUCUGGAUUUCUCGUAGGGAAACCUGCAGGGGUUCGAAUCCCCUCGCUCUCA
Non-coding RNA from Tricladium varicosporioides, 127 nucleotides. NCBI's taxonomy places the organism in Eukaryota, Fungi, Ascomycota, Leotiomycetes, Helotiales, Tricladiaceae. The record is from the annotation of a GenBank genome assembly.